ACAGCAGCCGCCGCGGGAAUACGAAGGGGGCUAGCGUUGUUCGGAUUUACUGGGCGUAAAGGGCGCGUAGGCGGACUGAUAAGUCAGGGGUGAAAUCCCAAGGCUCAACCUUGGAACUGCCUUUGAUACUGUCUGUCUUGAGUUCGAGAGAGGUAAGUGGAACUGCGAGUGUAGAGGUGAAAUUCGUAGAUAUUCGCAAGAACACCAGUGGCGAAGGCGGCUUACUGGCUCGAAACUGACGCUGAGGCGCGAAAGCGUGGGGAGCAAACAGGAUUAGAGACCCCUGUAGUCCCUGUCUCUUAUAC
This 305-nucleotide ribosomal RNA is filed under the name uncultured bacterium. Its description in RNAcentral is "partial 16S ribosomal RNA". It matches the Rfam family "Bacterial small subunit ribosomal RNA", at positions 508 to 807 of the family's 1533-position model. The record is from RNAcentral.